GCUGAGUUAACUCUUCUCAUUUGAAAUUAACUCAUUUUUCUCUCUCCAAAACCAAACAAAGCCCUAACGUAAGAAGAAAGGCAAAUCCUAGCGAAGAUUAUAAACUGAACCCAUGAAAGAACUGAAGUCUAGGAUUUUGAGCUCAAGUUAGGGAAUAGAAGUUCAACUUUGACUCCGAUCUUAAGCCCAAGGUUUUUCCCCCCAUUAUUUUUCUUUGUUUCUUUUUUAGUUUUUUGGUAAGGGAUAAUUUGAUUUUUAGGUUAAUGUGAAAUGGGUUUUGAUUGUUUUUGUUAUUUAAGUAGGGUUUCUAUGAUUAUUUAAUUCAAAAUGAAUCUUCAUAUUUAUUUCAAAGUAUGGGGAUGAACAAAAUCCUAAUUUAGUUGUUAAUUUACUCUCUUAUUGGAUAAAUUGGUUUCGUUAGUUCAUAUUUUAUCUCCUCGUAAUUUUAAAGUUAAAAAAAAAUGCAACAUCACUGCAUUCUUUUAUGUGUCUAAGCUAGGAGGUAUAAUUUUUUAGAAAAAGCUACAUCUAAUAAUUAGACGGAAAUCCAACAAAAGAGUUCAAAAUUAUUUUACUAUUAUUUGGAAUUAGAUACGUUUAAAAAAUAUGGCCGCUCAGAUCACCUAUCAUUUUAAUGCAGUGGUUUCACUCUUAGAAUCCCAAUCUGGUUUGGGUACUGUUCACAAACGAGAUAUCUACUAUUCAUUGCUAAAUGUCUUCUCUAUAUUACUUGUUUUCCUCCCUUUUUUUUUCUUCUUAAAAGGAAAAAAAAUAAAAGAAGGCGUUUACAUUAAUCUCUGCCUCUCUUUCAUUUGCGUCAAAAUUCCAAAGUUUCGACAAUCAAUCUUCAUCCAGUUUUGUCUUCGACGUUUCUUCGAUCGACCAACAUCAGUAUAAACAAAGGGUAAACCGAGGUUACACUAGACGUCAAUUUUUUUCCUUUCAAUUUUUGUUUGGGUAUGGGGUGCUUAUUAUUGAAAAUUUUCAUAAUUUAAUUGAUGUCUUUGUGAUUUUUCUGCUUUAUUGAAUUCAUUUCUGGAUUUUAUUUAUGACUUGGUGUCCUUUUAAGGGUUCUUCAAUCAUACUAAUUUCUUCUUUAUGUUAAUAAUCUAGCGCAACUCAACUAUUUAAAGUCCUUAAUGUUCUAGGGUUUCAAAUUCAUCCACAUCCAAUCGCCUUAUUAGAGUUUCCUCAGCACUAAGCAGUGGGAGAAGCAACACCACCAUUGAAGAAAGCGGCAGUUUAAUGACGCAGAAGUAACAAAAUAGUUUGUUUUUGCUCUUCUUUUAUCCUCCACAAUUUCAUUGUCGAUAAUUUCAAUACAAGUUUUAGUUCUUUAAUACUGGAACGUUAAAUUUUUUAGGUGUUGGAGAGUGUGAUAUUAAAAAUGGAGAAGUAGGUGUUGGAGCGAUAAAUCAAAAUGAAACUUGCUAACUGUAAGUUCGUUUAAUUUAUUGUUAAUUUUGUCCUUUUGCACUUUCAUAGGGAAAUAGAAAUAUAUGAAUUGCAUCAAUUAGUUUCAACUUUGGAUUAAGACAAAUAAAUUCAGCAGAUAUAAACAACCCCCUCUAAUAAUUUCUGUCUCACAAUACAUAAUUGGUAAAUAUUUAUUAUGGACAAGAACAUGGAUCAAAUUUUAGGGCAAUGUGAAAUUAAAACACAUGCACACUUUCUCUUUGUCUUUGGUUUUUAGAUUAAAUACAAAUGCUUAUUUUGCACUUUCAUAGGGGUUUCAAAUUAGUACUAUAAUGAAGUUUUUUGCCCCCAUAAGUUUAUUUAUACUACUAUUCUCCUACCAACUGGUGGAAAAGAAUAUCUCAGAGCCAUUUAACCGUCGGAGCAAUUUUCAAUAUCAUUUAAGUUGGGUUUAUUAUUUCUCUAUUUAAUUAAUGGUUUCUAAUAUCAAAUUUACCUAUAAUUGAUGAUGAAAUUAAUGCUGAAGUUAGUUUGCUUCAUAACAUUGUUGAAUUUUUGUGGGUUUAGUUAAUUCAAAUCAUAUUUGUGUUGUUCAUGCAUAUGAAUAGUAUGUCUACUUUUAUAUUAUUAUUUUUUUGCAUUUUUAGAUCAUUUAUAUGAGAUUUCCCUCAUAAGUUGAGUAAGUUUGAUAUCAUUGCCGUACUAUAAGAAUUUUGGUAAGUUUGUUUUAUUCUAUUACCGAUUAGGAAAAUCUUAGAUAAAUUCAACAAAUCUAAAGUAGAAUUUAUAAUUUAGAAUUUAACUAAACUUAAUCAUACUGGUUGCGUAAUUUUUAGCUUGAUUUAACUAGGGUUCUUUAUUAUCAAGCAUAUGUGAUUCCUAUCAUAUAUCCUUGUUCAUUUCCAUGUACAAAAACUACGUUAUAUAUAUAUGAUUAAUAAAUAGUUUUUUUUAAUAAUUUUUGCAGAUGUUAUUAGAAUACAUAUUAUCUCCAAAUCAAUGAUUUUCUGCUACCAUUACUCAAUUUGCAAAUCACCAGUACCUUAAAGAUUUUGUAGAACUUAUAGAUGGAGACGAUUAAGCUUCUUAUCUAUGCAGUCACUUUCACGAAUUUAUCUAUGGAAGUAUGUAUAAAGAACAAAAAGAAAAAUUUAGUAGCAAAUUAAUACAUGAGUUCAUAAUGAGACUUAUCAACUGCGACAAAAAUAAUGAAGUUUGGAUACGAUUAGACGAUCAUGUGACCCGUUUUAGCAUGCAAGAAAUUUGUCUAAUCACUGGAUUACCAUGCCAUGAAGUUGCUAUUGAUCUUAAUUUCAGUAAUACUCGACUUAGGGAUGAAUACUUCAAUGGUACAAAAAGAAUUAUUAUGAAAAGACUUUCUAAAGUAUUUCAUAUGUGUUAAGAUCGAGAAGAUAAAUUCAAGUUAGGAUUAGUUAUGUUCGUCGAAUGCAUUUUAAAACCAAAUGGAAGACACAUUGAUUUCAGAACCCUUAGAAUGAUUGAACGACUUGAUGAAUUUCUUAUGUAUCCAUGGGGACGUAAAACAUACUUUGUUUUAUUAAAUUCAUUGCAAGAAUCACAUCUCGAAAGAAUACGAAGGAUGCAACAAAAUGAUCAAACAAAUUGUAAAUAUUCGUUAUGGGGUUAUCCACUUGUAUUUCAGGUAUUUUUCUUUUGUUUUUUUCCCUGUUACAUAUAAUUUAAUCAUAUAAAAACUUUAAUAUUUCUUUUAUUUUUAUUUCAGUAUUGGAUAUAUGAAGCUUUUCCUCAAAUUGGACGACAAUUCGGACGUCGUAUCCUUACAAGCUUCCAGUCUCCACGAAUGCAUAAAUGGAAGCCCAAAAUAGUAAUAACAGAACAAAUCGUUAAACAAUUUUUGG
RNAcentral lists this long non-coding RNA (3296 nucleotides) under Olea europaea subsp. europaea. The record is from RNAcentral. Lineage: Eukaryota; Viridiplantae; Streptophyta; Magnoliopsida; Lamiales; Oleaceae.